UGGCCGCGAUAUUUUGAUCGUGCAUAGGUAGUGGAUAUUAGUUUUCUUAAUUAGGAACUGGUAUGAAAGGUUAAAUGAGAAAAUUUCUGUCUCAAUUUAAAUUUAAUUAGAACUUUAUUUUUAAGUUAAAAAGCUUAAAUAGAUUUAAAAGACGAGAAGACCCUAUAGAGUUUUAUACUUAUGUUAAAUUUUUUACUUUUAGAAUUUAAAUUUAAAAUUUAUUUAUAAGUAUUUGAUUGGGGUGAUUUAAAAAUUUAAUAAACUUUUUAUAUAAAUUUAACAUAAAUUAAUGAUUGAUUGAUCCAUAAUUAAUGAUUAAAAGAAAAAAUUACCUUAGGGAUAACAGCGUAAUUUUUUUUGAGAGUUCUUAUCGAAAAAAAAGUUUGCGACCUCGAUGUUGAGAUUAAAAAAGAUUUACGACCUCGAUGUUGGAUUAAAACC
RNAcentral lists this ribosomal RNA (441 nucleotides) under Onthophagus centricornis. RNAcentral's name for it is "partial large subunit ribosomal RNA". Lineage: Eukaryota; Metazoa; Arthropoda; Insecta; Coleoptera; Scarabaeidae. The record is from RNAcentral.